CUAAAUCCUAAAAGAAGUUCAGCAAGCAUCUGCUUAUCUUGAUUUUGUCGCAUCCUCUCGUCUCGGGCGAUCCAAUGUGUCCCCCUUUCAGUUCAAAAAUCCAGUUUCUUUGAUUCUGAAAUCUUAACCCUUAACUCCUCAAUCACCAUGAGCUCAUCAAAGCUUCUGCAUUUCUUCAUCUUCUUCCUUUCAACCGCACUAGUCAUUCUCCGUUGGUUGCUCGCCGUUUUUUUUCAAAUAAAUCGGGCAUCGAUCCUUUUCUAUAUCGUUGAUACGCUUUUUUCGAUUUACUUUAGGUUCUGUGGUCUUACAUCGUUUGCUGUUGAUUUAGAUGAUCGAACCACCGUGCAUUUUUGGUCUUCCAGUCAUCGGAGGUUCGAUAAGCCUAAUCUAGUCGUGGUCCAUGGCUACGGAGGCGAUGCACGGUGGCAAUUUCUAUAUCAAGUGGGUUUUCUUUCUCGGAAGUUUAAUCUGUUCAUGCCGGAUUUAUUGUUCUUUGGUAAAUCUUAUUCGAACCGGCCGGACCGGACCGAUGCGUUUCAAGCGGGAUGUUUGAUAGAAGGGUUGAAUAGAUUGGGUGUGGAUAAGUUUUCGGUGUACUCGAUUAGCUAUGGAGGGUAUGUGGCGUAUCGGAUGGCUGAGAUUUGCCCUAAAUAUAUGAUGGAGAAGCUUGUGAUAGUGAGCAGUGGGGUGGCAUGGAGUGAUGAUGAGAAAGGAGAACAUAUUAAGAAGAUUGGAAGAGAUCCAAAAGAGCUGCUUGUACCAACAAAUCCAAAUGAUCUGAGACUUCUAGUGAAGCUAUCAGUAUACAAAGGCAAGCCUUUGAAGUGGCUUCCUGAUUUUUUCCUUCAAGAGUUCAUCAAUGUGUUGGGCAAUAAUAAUAGGAAGGAGAAGUUAGAGCUGGUAGAACACUUGUUGGCCAAAAAAGCAGAUACAGACCUUCCAAUUCUAACCCAGGUAUGUUGGUUUAAAAAUUGAAGCAUUGGUGCUCCAAGUUCUCUGAGUUUGUUUAUUUAUAAUUGUAUUAUCAUGUUAUCAAUGUUGAAAUUAUUUUCAAAAUCAUGAGUUUUUAAGUUCGAACUUCAAUCGUAAUAAAAUCAAAAAAAAUAAAAAAUCCUAAAUCUGGGUAGUGCAUCUUAUGAGUAAUGCUCCAUUUGGGUCAAGGAAACACUUCUAAUAUGGGGCGAUCAGGAUAAUGUCUUCCCAGUACAUUUGGCCCAUCAGUUGCAGAGGUAAGUUAAUGCUUUUCUCUAUUUUGGUUAAUUUCCAAGGCAUUAUCUAUUUGAGAUGAGCAUAACAAUUUUGGUUGAUCACAGGCAUCUUGGACCAAAAUCAAGAGUGGAAAUAAUCAAGGACACAGGACAUGCUGCAAAUAUUGAAUCUCCUGAUGCUGUCAAUACUUUGAUCGCAUCAUUUCUUUUAGGUCACUCUUAAUCUAACGGUUAGAAAUUCCAUACAAAUUGAAGCAUGAUUCCCACGCGUGAGAAAUUUCCAAGUAUGAAAUAUGCAAAUGCAAUUUUCCUCUUGAAAUUUGUGUGGAAUUAUCAAGCAAUUGAAGAAUUAAUUCACUUUUGCUAAAUGCUUCAAUUUUAU
This 1593-nucleotide unclassified non-coding RNA is filed under the name Hevea brasiliensis (rubber tree). The record is from RNAcentral. Lineage: Eukaryota; Viridiplantae; Streptophyta; Magnoliopsida; Malpighiales; Euphorbiaceae.